AGUCGAGCGGUACAGGCCUUCGGGUGCUGACGAGCGGCGGACGGGUGAGUAAUGCUUGGGAACUUGCCUUUCGGAGGGGGAUAACCAUUGGAAACGAUGGCUAAUACCGCAUAACGUCUACGGACCAAAGUGGGGGAUCUUCGGACCUCACACCGAGAGAUAGGCCCAAGUGAGAUUAGCUAGUUGGUGGGGUAAAGGCUCACCAAGGCGACGAUCUCUAGCUGUUCUGAGAGGAUGAUCAGCCACACUGGGACUGAGACACGGCCCAGACUCCUACGGGAGGCAGCAGUGGGGAAUAUUGCACAAUGGGGGAAACCCUGAUGCAGCCAUGCCGCGUGUGUGAAGAAGGCCUUCGGGUUGUAAAGCACUUUCAGUGGUGAGGAAGGCUAUCGUGUUAAUAGCACGGUAGAUUGACGUUAGCCACAGAAGAAGCACCGGCUAACUCCGUGCCAGCAGCCGCGGUAAUACGGAGGGUGCGAGCGUUAAUCGGAAUUACUGGGCGUAAAGCGUACGUAGGCGGCUCAUUAAGCAAGAUGUGAAAGCCCCGGGCUCAACCUGGGAAUGGCAUUUUGAACUGGUGAGCUCGAGUUUUGAAGAGGGUGGUAGAAUUUCCAGUGUAGCGGUGAAAUGCGUAGAUAUUGGAAGGAAUACCAGUGGCGAAGGCGGCCACCUGGUCAAGAACUGACGCUGAGGUACGAAAGCGUGGGGAGCAAACAGGAUUAGAUACCCUGGUAGUCCACGCCGUAAACGAUGUCAACUAGUUGUUCGUUUCAUAAACGAAGUGAGUAACGCAGCUAACGCACUAAGUUGACCGCCUGGGGAGUACGGCCG
This 831-nucleotide ribosomal RNA is filed under the name uncultured Gammaproteobacteria bacterium. RNAcentral's name for it is "bacterial SSU rRNA". It matches the Rfam family "Bacterial small subunit ribosomal RNA", at positions 60 to 888 of the family's 1533-position model. The record is from RNAcentral. Lineage: Bacteria; Pseudomonadati; Pseudomonadota; Gammaproteobacteria.